RNAcentral lists this ribosomal RNA (29 nucleotides) under Moniliella fonsecae. RNAcentral describes it as "partial small subunit ribosomal RNA". The record is from RNAcentral. Lineage: Eukaryota; Fungi; Basidiomycota; Moniliellomycetes; Moniliellales; Moniliellaceae.
UAGGUGAACCUGCGGAAGGAUCAUUCUUG